Molecule: ribosomal RNA, 254 nt
Filed under: uncultured prokaryote
Description: partial 16S ribosomal RNA
Rfam family: Bacterial small subunit ribosomal RNA
Source: RNAcentral
ACGAAGGGGGCUAGCGUUGUUCGGAAUCACUGGGCGUAAAGCGCACGCAGGCGGAUCGUUAAGUCAGGGGUGAAAUGCCAAGGCUCAACCUUGGAACUGCCUCUGAUACUGGCGAUCUUCGAGUCCGGGAGAGGUGAGUGGAACUCCGAGUGUAGAGGUGAAAUUCGUAGAUAUUCGGAAGAACACCAGUGGCGAAGGCGGCUCACUGGCCCGGUACUGACGCUCAGGUUCGAAAGCGUGGGGAGCAAACAGGA